This 367-nucleotide ribosomal RNA is filed under the name uncultured archaeon. RNAcentral's name for it is "bacterial SSU rRNA". It matches the Rfam family "Archaeal small subunit ribosomal RNA", at positions 451 to 818 of the family's 1478-position model. The record is from RNAcentral.
ACUGGUGUCAGCCGCCGCGGUAAUACCAGCUCUCCGAGUGGUAGGGACGAUUAUUAGGCCUAAAGCGUUCGUAGCCUGCCUGGAAAGUCUCUCGUUAAAUCCAGCGACCUAAUCGUUGGACUGCGGGGGAUACUGUCAGGCUUGGGAGCGGGAGAGGCCGACGGUAUUCCUGGGGUAGGAGUGAAAUCCUGUAAUCCCGGGAGGACCACCAGUGGCGAAGGCUGUCGGCUAGAACGCGUCCGACGGUGAGGGACGAAAGCUGGGGGAGCGAACCGGAUUAGAUACCCGGGUAGUCCCAGCUGUAAACGAUGCGGGCUAGGUGUCAGUGUGGCUACGAGCCACUCUGGUGCCGCAGGGAAACUCAUAA